Molecule: ribosomal RNA, 433 nt
Filed under: uncultured bacterium
Lineage: Bacteria
Description: partial 16S ribosomal RNA
Rfam family: Bacterial small subunit ribosomal RNA
Source: RNAcentral
AACGAACGCUGGCGGCAUGCCUAACACAUGCAAGUCGAACGAGACCUUCGGGUCUAGUUGCGCACGGGUGCGUAACGCGUGGGAACCUGCCCUUAGGUUCGGAAUAACUCCCCGAAAGGGGUGCUAAUACCGGAUAAUGUCUUCGGACCAAAGAUUUAUCGCUUUUGGAUGGGCCCGCGUUGGAUUAGCUGGUUGGUAGGGUAAAAGCCUACCAAGGCGAAGAUCCAUAGCUGGUCUGAGAGGAUGAUCAGCCACACUGGGACUGAGACACGGCCCAGACUCCUACGGGAGGCAGCAGUGGGGAAUAUUGGACAAUGGGCGAAAGCCUGAUCCAGCAAUGCCGCGUGAGUGAUGAAGGCCUUAGGGUUGUAAAGCUCUUUUACCCGGGAUGAUAAUGACAGUACCGGGAGAAUAAGCUCCGGCUAACUCCGUG